RNAcentral lists this unclassified non-coding RNA (518 nucleotides) under uncultured Glomeromycotina. RNAcentral's name for it is "SSU rRNA". It matches the Rfam family "Eukaryotic small subunit ribosomal RNA", at positions 571 to 1092 of the family's 1831-position model. The record is from RNAcentral. Lineage: Eukaryota; Fungi; Glomeromycota.
CAGCCGCGUAAUUCCAGCUCCAAUAGCGUAUAUUAAAGUUGUUGCAGUUAAAAAGCUCGUAGUUGAAUUUCGGGAUCAAAUUGUCGGUCGUGCCUCGGUACGCACUGGUAUUAUUGGUUCCUACCUUCUGAAGAACCGCGAUGUCAUUAAUUUGGUGUCGUGGGGAAUCAGGACUGUUACUUUGAAAAAAUUAGAGUGUUUAAAGCAGGCUUACGCUUGAAUACAUUAGCAUGGAAUAAUGAAAUAGGACGUUUGAUUCUAUUUUGUUGGUUUCUAGGAUUGACGUAAUGAUUAAUAGGGAUAGUUGGGGGCAUUAGUAUUCAAUUGUCAGAGGUGAAAUUCUUGGAUUUAUUGAAGACUAACUACUGCGAAAGCAUUUGCCAAGGAUGUUUUCAUUAAUCAAGAACGAAAGUUAGGGGAUCGAAGACGAUCAGAUACCGUCGUAGUCUUAACCAUAAACUAUGCCGACUAGGGAUCGGAUGAUGUUAAUUUUUUAAUGACUCAUUCGGCGCCUUACG